Molecule: long non-coding RNA, 1736 nt
Organism: Astatotilapia calliptera (eastern happy)
Lineage: Eukaryota; Metazoa; Chordata; Actinopteri; Cichliformes; Cichlidae
Source: Ensembl
CAGUAAUAUUUCAGUGACUGCUGCUUAUACCACAGGUUAAUACACUCUACUGAUCCCUGAUAGGAGAAUCAUCAAUUUUGCCAGCAAAGAAGCCUGGUGGAUGUUUGUUUACAGUCUGAUGGUGGGACAUCAUGCUCUGCAUCUUUAAAUCUUUUUGCAGGAUCAGAAAACAAAACCGGGAGGCGCGUAAAUGUUUCUUCUCCAUGAUGUUUCUUCAAAUGUUUCUUCUGGAUGAUGAUAUGACCGUGACACGGGAUGCCACCUUUGGUCUUGUGACGAAGCAAAGCUCAGGAAGAAGUGUGAUUAAAUGGUACCCACAUGUGUGCUGCUGAGAAGGAUGUACAGGGGCACCUGCAGCCAAAUCCAAGCUUCAGGUUAGUUCGGCUGUUUGUGCUCACAGAUGGUGACGGUGUGGAGAGACGGUGGUGUUUCCUCAGAAGCACCAGCUGAGUCACAAAGGACACCAGUCCAUCUCACCACCUUGACUUGCUGACUGAUGUUCGUCUACACUGCACAGAGGAAAUCAACUGACCGAGGAGUGUUUCUGAGUGAGGGGGAGAGGAGUCAUCAUCCAGGUAAAGUGACGUGGAUCAGUGGAUACACUUGUCUCCCCUUUAAAGGAGACGAUCCAAGUCAUCCUUAAAUGUUAGUGCUUUCAAAUACACAAACAUUUUUAAAGGACAAAAAUGAACAUCCAACUUUGAGUGUAAUACAAAAUAAAUCUUUGCAUCUGUGUUUUCAAACUCUCAGAUGGGCAGCAUAUCAGUCUUGGACUGUCUAACCUGCCGGAGCAGCACUGAAUGACCACCACACAUGAGCAUGUUCCUGCAACAUUCAGCAUCUGAUCUGUCAUCUGUGUACUUCUGCUUUUGGUAAGUACAGCUACAGUACCUCUAAACACAUGCCACCCAUUUCUUUUCUUUUUUCUUUUUUUUUUCUGCCUGUCCCGUUUGGUUCUUUUGCCAUCAGAAUUAUUCUCUAAAGGCGAAGAAAGAUGCCCAACGGAUUUACUUUACCAAAUUAACCAUCCCAGCCUUGCCGUAAUGGUCUAUUUGGUAUACCUUUUAUUGUUUAUUUUAUUUAUUUUUUAUUUUCACUUGCUAGAUACAGGACAGACUUGAAUGAGGAAAAGAAAAGGGAGAAAGGAAGAGGGGGAAAAACAGCGGAGAAGAGGGACGGGAAUAAAGAGCAAAAAAACAAAAAACAACUAAAUAAGCAGACAAAAAAAAAAAUACAUACAAUACAAUAACCUAGAUCACCUGUUGAGAAAGAAAAAAGAAAAACAGCAGAAGAAAAAGAGAGCAAUACAAUAAACAACAUCACGAUGAUAUAUGUGAAUAUAACAGUAAAUACUAAAUAUUAAACAUUAUUGUGCACCACAUAAUAUCGACAGCGCAGAGUGUGCUUUGAGGUAGGAGCCAAAAAGGGUGUAGUUUGUGUGUGUGAACACCCGUGUGUACACCUGUGAGCAUGGACGUGCUUUUUAAAAGGUUCCUUCAUGUAAUGAUCUGCUAGAGCAGGGGUGUCAAACUCAAAUACACAGUGGGCCAAAAUUCAAAACUGGAACAAAGUCGCGGGCUAACAUUAAUAUAAAAAAAAAAAUCUUCCUCCAUUCAUGAGAAUGAAUCUUUUCUUAUAGACUCAAACAAGUUUUGCUGAAAAACUGAAUAUGGAACAAGCAAAGCUUAAUACUAAACUAUAUAUAUUAGCUAUUAGAGGUCAGCUCUAAUAGUAAU